AUUGAACGCUGGCGGCAUGCUUUACACAUGCAAGUCGGACGGCAGCACAGAGAAGCUUGCUUCUUGGGUGGCGAGUGGCGCACGGGUGAGUAACAUAUCGGAACGUACCGAGCAGUGGGGGAUAACUAAUCGAAAGAUUAGCUAAUACCGCAUAUCUUCUGAGGAAGAAAGCAGGGGACCAUUUGGCCUUGCGCUGUUUGAGCGGCCGAUAUCUGAUUAGCUAGUUGGUGGGGUAAAGGCCUACCAAGGCGACGAUCAGUAGCGGGUCUGAGAGGAUGAUCCGCCACACUGGGACUGAGACACGGCCCAGACUCCUACGGGAGGCAGCAGUGGGGAAUUUUGGACAAUGGGCGCAAGCCUGAUCCAGCCAUGCCGCGUGUCUGAAGAAGGCCUUCGGGUUGUAAAGGACUUUUGUCAGGGAAGAAAAGGGCGGGGUUAAUACCCCUGUCUGAUGACGGCACCUGAAGAAUAAGCACCGGCUAACUACGUG
This 490-nucleotide ribosomal RNA is filed under the name uncultured bacterium. RNAcentral's name for it is "partial 16S ribosomal RNA". It matches the Rfam family "Bacterial small subunit ribosomal RNA", at positions 30 to 507 of the family's 1533-position model. The record is from RNAcentral.